CUAAGAAUAUUCCGCAAUGGACGGAAGUCUGACGGAGCGACGCCGCGUGGAUGACGAGGGCCGAAAGGUUGUAAAGUUCUUUUGCUGGGGAAGAAUAACCGCAGGAGGGAAUGCCUGUGGGAUGACAAGAACCGGCGAAUAAGCCCCGGCCAACUACGUGCCAGCAGCCGCGGUAACACGUAGGGGGCGAGCGUUGUUCGGAAUUACUGGGCGUAAAGGGCAUGUAGGCGGCUUGGAAAGCCUGGCGUGAAAGUCUGCAGCUUAACUGCAGGGGUGCGCUGGGAACUGCUGAGCUUGAGUGACGGAGAGGGAGCUGGAAUUCCUGGUGUAGGGGUGAAAUCUGUAGAUAUCAGGAAGAACACCGAUGGCGAAGGCAAGCUCCUGGCCGAUGACUGACGCUGAGGUGCGAAAGUGUGGGGAUCAAACAGGAUUAGAUACCCUGGUAGUCCACACAGUCAACGAUGUGCACUAGGUGCUGGGGCGGUAGCUUCGGUGCCGGAGCGAACGUGGUAAGUGCACCGCCUGGGGAGUAUGCUCGCAAGGGUG
Molecule: ribosomal RNA, 546 nt
Filed under: uncultured bacterium
Lineage: Bacteria
Description: partial 16S ribosomal RNA
Rfam family: Bacterial small subunit ribosomal RNA
Source: RNAcentral